Molecule: long non-coding RNA, 1354 nt
Organism: Marmota monax (woodchuck)
Lineage: Eukaryota; Metazoa; Chordata; Mammalia; Rodentia; Sciuridae
Exons: 2
Source: RefSeq, a predicted model, not a curated record
GAAAGGUCUUUUCCUGAGAGCAAAAGGGAGCCCUUAAAAGAUCUGAAACUAAUGCAACACGAUGGAUUAAAAUCAAAUAAGGCAUCUAUCUAGUUGCACCGUCGGGAUGGGGGAGGGGAAAUGUGGAGGCGGAGAGAGCAAUGAACAGGUAACUGUGGUAAUCCAGGUGGUAGACGGGUGGCUAGCACUAGGGUAGUCAGAGCUUGGCAGGAGCGACAACCAGACAAGAAGUGCGAACAUAAAACGGAUCUGUGGGCUUAAAGAGAUGGGAGGGGGGCUGAUGACCGGGCUAUAGUGAUGCCAUUGCUGAGAUGGGAAAAACGCCAGGUUUGGAGAGAAGGUGCGGAACUCCGUUUAGAACGCGUAGAUUUUGAAAUUUCUGUGGCAUCCAAGUUAAAUAUGCCUGGACUUCAGGACAGAGGUGCUGAAGCAAGAUGACUCUCUGGAAAUGGACGAGACUACCCCGAGCAUGCACAGAGGAAAAGCAUCAAAGCUCACACCAGGCUUUUUUAACUCACACAACUCUAAUUGCAGCGAUUCUGGAGGCUGAGACAGGAGAAUUUGGAGGAUUACAAGUUUGAGGACAGCCUCAGCAACUUGGCCAGACCCUGUCUCAAAAUAAAAAAGGACUGAAAUGAAUGGAGUUGGAGAAUACCAUGCUAAGUGAAGUAAGCCAAUCCCAAAAAACCAAAGGCCAAAUGUUUUCUCUGAUAAGUGCGUGCUAAUCCAUAAUGGUGGGGGGAAUGGGAUAAGUGGAGGAACUUUGGAUUGGGCAAAGAGUGGGGACAGAAGGGAGCAUGGGUGUAGGACAGAUGUUGGAAUGAGACUGACAUCAUUACCCUAGGUACACGUAUGAUUGCAUGAAUGGUGUGCCUCUAUUCGUGUACAGCCAGAGAAGUGAAAAAUUGUGCUCCAUUUGUGUACAAUGAAUCGAAGAGCAUUCUGCUGUCAUGUAUAACUGAUUAGAACAAAUAAAAAAAUAAAAUAAAAAGGACUGGGGAUGUGGUUCAGUGGUAAAGGGACCUUGGGUUCAUUCCCCAGUACUAAAAAAGGGGGGGCGGGGAGGGGGAGAAAGAGGAGUAGAAAGCCCUGGUAAAGGAGAGAAGAUGCACAUUAAAUCAAAGCACAAAUAGAAAGUGGAGAACUUGGAAUAAAACAAACUUGAUAUUUGCUUUUUAAAAACUGGAUAGGAAACCAUUAUUGUAUUAGCUUCAGUUUUAUGCCUUCAAAAAAAAAACCUCAGUGAUUUCAUUUAAUUGAAUAAUCAACAAGAAUAAAGACUUGGAAAUGACAAAUGAAGGAAGAAAGGCAUCUAGAAAAGAAAAUAAAUGUAAUGACAUGAUUCAUUGCAAGA